AAGAAGAACAACAAAAACAAUAAUAAAUGAUGUGCUGCGAUAUUAACUAUGAGAGAUUAAUUGUUGAUGUUGAUGGAUGGGACAAUUUGUACAGCAAGAUGUAAAAUUGUGGACAAUUUUAAAAGGUUGGACAAGGUUGCUUUCCAUGAAUCGAGAUAAUUUCAAGGAUUGUGCUUUAAUUUCAACUAUAAAUGAUAUCUACAGUUGAAAUCUACUGUUGAUAAUCAUCAUUCAAUCUUCGAUUGUUAACGAUUUAAUCUUUCUGAUAGGAUGCCAAAUGCAAUUGAUACAUCAUCAUAAUUUGAACUAUCAUUAAGAGAAUCGGUUGUUCAUCGUUGGUUUGCACAUAAAAACAUGAUCAAUUCAAA
Long non-coding RNA from Tetranychus urticae (two-spotted spider mite), 368 nucleotides. RefSeq lists it as uncharacterized. NCBI's taxonomy places the organism in Eukaryota, Metazoa, Arthropoda, Arachnida, Trombidiformes, Tetranychidae. The record is from RefSeq and is a predicted model, not a curated record.